This is a long non-coding RNA of Entelurus aequoreus (snake pipefish), 563 nucleotides long. RefSeq lists it as uncharacterized. The transcript has 4 exons. The record is from RefSeq and is a predicted model, not a curated record. Lineage: Eukaryota; Metazoa; Chordata; Actinopteri; Syngnathiformes; Syngnathidae.
CCCAAGGGAAGCUCCGCCUACCUACCGGAAGUGGUACUGAUUGAACUUCCUGUGCUCGGCAACAUCUGUGAAAGUUAUCAACUUAAAGGGAAGCUCCGCCUACAUACCGGAAGUGGUACUGAUUGAACUUCCUGUGCUCGGCAACAUCUGUGAAAGUUAUCAACUUAAAGGGAAGCUCCGCCUACAUACCGGAAGUGGUACUGAUUGAACUUCCUGUGCUCGGCAACAUCUGUGAAAGUUAUCAACUUAAAGCAUUCCCUAACGUGUCUGCUCGUCGCCAUGGAAACGCUCCUGCAGGUCCAAGUCCCGCCUGCACACCUUUCUGCGUUGUCGGAGCGUGGCCUUUACAUGAAGGCAGACGCUCGGGGCUUUGAAUCUUUGGCCACCUAGUGAUUCCAUUCCCAUUCCUGGGGGCGAUGAUUCCAUUCAGAAUCGAUUCAACACGAUUCUUUUUUUGGCACAGUAAUUAUUAUGAGGCUUUUUCAAAACAGGUUACAGGUUACAACAUCUCCUCGUGGGUACAUGGAGAUGGCCUAAAAACCUGUUUUAGAAAAUGGAUUAUA